This 497-nucleotide ribosomal RNA is filed under the name uncultured bacterium. Its description in RNAcentral is "partial 16S ribosomal RNA". It matches the Rfam family "Bacterial small subunit ribosomal RNA", at positions 28 to 507 of the family's 1533-position model. The record is from RNAcentral.
GAUGAACGCUGGCUGCGUGCCUAAUACAUUCAAGUCGAGCGAACGUACGAGAAGCUUGCUUCUCUGAUGUUAGCUGCGGACGGGUGAGUAACACGUGGCUCACCUACCUAUACGACUGGGAUAACUUCGGGAAACCGGAGCUAAUACCGGAUACUAUUUUGAACCGCAUGGUUCAAAAGUGAAAGACGGUCUUGCUGUCACUUAUAGAUUGAUCCGCGCUGCAUUAGCUAGUUGGUAAGGUAACGGCUUACCAAGGCAACGAUGCAUAGCCGACCUGAGAGGGUGAUCGGCCACACUGGAAGUGAGACACGGUCCAGAGUCCUACGGGAGGCAGCAGUAGGGAAUCUUGCGCAAUGGGCGAAAGCCUGACGGAGAAACGGCGCGUGAGUGAGGAAGGUCCUCGGAUCGUAAAACGCUGGUAGUGGGGAAGAACAGAUGUGUAAGUAACUGUGCACAGCUUGACGGAACCUAAUCAGAAAGCCACGGCUAAUAACGUG